GACGAACGCUGGCGGCGUGCUUAACACAUGCAAGUCGAACGGAAAGUCCCUGCUUUUGUGGGGUGCUCUAGUUGCGAACGGGUGAGUAACACGUGAGUAACCUGCCCUUGACUUUGGGAUAUCUUCAUGAAACUUGGGCUAAUACCGCAUAGGAUCUCCUGCUUCAUGGUGGGGGUUGGAAAGUUUCGGCGGUUGGGGAUGGACUCGCGGAUUAUCAGCUUGUUGGUGGGGUAGUGGCUUACCAAGGCUUUGACGGGUAGCCGGCCUGAGAGGGUGACCGGCCACAUUGGGACUGAGAGACGGCCCAGACUGCUACGGGCGGGAGGAGUGGGGAAGAUUGCACAAUGGGCGGAAGAAUGAUGCAGCAACGAAGGGUGCGGGAGGAAGGAAUUCGGGUUGUAAACAGAUUUCGCCUGUGACGAAGCGUGAGUGACGGUAAUGGGGAAAGAAGCACCGGCUAACUACGU
Molecule: ribosomal RNA, 467 nt
Filed under: uncultured bacterium
Lineage: Bacteria
Description: partial 16S ribosomal RNA
Rfam family: Bacterial small subunit ribosomal RNA
Source: RNAcentral